UUAGGUGACCUUGGACGCCAUGGAACAGGGACCAUUUAUCAGAAACUUUCCCAGAAGUACAAAAAUGCUGCAAAAAAACCCACACAGAAUUACACAGAGGACAACAAAACUCAAGGGAUAAUGGAAAAAAGCCAGUGGGACCUCAAAAAGAUCCGUUUUCAACGGAGACGUCUGACCAGGCUGGACGAUUUUGUACAUACAUACAAAGUCACCUUGAGCGCCCUGCUAAGGGAAUAUGGCGACUCUCUGAGGAGGGGGAAGAAGACCCAUCGUGCGGACAUGGAGCGAUGGAAAAAAAGAAAGCAGAACAGGUCGAGGAGUUUAUGUGACACCCAUAAACAAGCCUUUUGUUUUCAGACAGCACAAGAAGAAUCUCAUGCAGAAGACAAAAACAGCAAAAGCUCCAGCUCCACUACAAAAACAAGCGCCAGGUGAAACGGAAGCACAUAUUCCAUCACAGGAUCCAAAAGACAAGGCAAGACAAGGUCAAUCUUCAUCCACAUCAGACAUGACGGAGCAUGCUGAGGAUGCCGCACAGGGAGGUAAAGUGGAUGCUUCAUCAGAGCUGACCGCGUUGUGGAAAAAAAAGGACACUGAGGUGGUGGUGUCUGUAGUCCCCACUCAAAUAAGAGGCAACAGUU
This is a long non-coding RNA of Gymnodraco acuticeps, 641 nucleotides long. RefSeq lists it as uncharacterized. Lineage: Eukaryota; Metazoa; Chordata; Actinopteri; Perciformes; Bathydraconidae. The record is from RefSeq and is a predicted model, not a curated record. The transcript is spliced from 6 exons.